AUUUGAUAACUCGCUCAGUAAAUAAGCGGCCGUGCUCUAUAAUACAACUAGCAGCAAAACGUUAUCGGAAAUAUUCGUGAAUUAUGUGAAUUACUUUGAAAUUUGAUGUUCUCUGUGGAUCUAUUUGUUUAUUUGUGCGUUUUUUUCGAUUCCAGUUACGUUUUUGAAUAAUGGACAACCGAGAUCAUGUUGAUGAUGAAGCAUCUAGAGACCCUGGUGCACAUAAAUCUCUGGCUUUUGACGAGAAGGACUUUGAAGGACAUCGCGCACACAGUGUUUUUGUAGGAGUUCACAUUCCAAUGGAAAGAAGACAUUCACAUAGAAGACAUAAACAUCACCACAAAAGUGAAAAUAGCAAAGAUGGUUCAGAAGAGGACAGACCAGUCACGCCACCAUCACAAAGAGUUCAGUUCAUUCUGGGAGAAGAUAUAGAUGAUGGGAAACAUGAAAGUCAUCCAUUGUUCUCCGAAAUGGAGGAACUGGUCACCGAUGGCGAAGAAAUGGAAUGGAAAGAAACAGCUAGAUGGAUAAAAUUCGAAGAAGAUGUAGAAGAAGGUGGAAAUAGAUGGUCCAAGCCCCACGUUGGUACACUAUCUCUUCAUUCCCUCUUCGAACUUCGAAGUUUGAUUCUGAAUGGAACAGUCAUUUUAGAUAUGGAUGCGAAUUCUCUAGAACAGAUUGCAGAUUUAGUGCUGGAUCAUAUGGUCAACAAUAAUUCAUUAGCAUCUGAUAAGAAAAUGCAGGUUAAGGAUGCAUUACUCAAGAGGCACAGGCAUCAGCAUCAAAGAAAAGACCAUGUAUUGCCAAUCAUGAGAUCUUUCACCGAGAUUGGAAGAAAUCAUUCGUCAUGUCGAAAGAAGAGAAAAACAAAAACCAGGAAGAAAAAAGUUCAAAUUGUGGAGCUUGGGAGUAAAGAUUUAAAGAGGAAUGGGUCUUAUAUAGCAGUACCAGUGGAUGAUCACCUAAAUGGAGAAUCUAUGGAGAGAUCCCCGGAUUUUGGAAAAUUCUUGAUAGUUCCAGGUCAUGGUUCUGAAAAAACUGUCACGAUGCAGAAGAGCGCCAGCAGUACAUCAAUGCACCGAAAUCUGAGCCACAAUGAGUUCGGAAUGAACGGAGACAUCCCACAGCACAAUCUGCAUUUCAUGAAGAAAAUUCCGAACGGAGCUGAGGCGAGCAACAUACUUGUUGGCGAGGUGAAUUUCUUGACCAAAACAGCGGCAGCUUUCGUGAGACUGAAUACGGCCAUUGUACUGGGGGAUCUCACGGAAGUGCCUGUUCCAACAAGAUUUCUAUUUUUAUUACUUGGGCCACCGAACAAUACUGGUGGUUAUCAUGAGAUAGGGCGUGCUAUGGCCACUUUGAUGUCGGAUGAGAUAUUCCAUGAAGUAGCUUACAAGGCAAGGAAUAGGAGUCAUUUGUUGGCAGGGGUUGACGAGUUUUUGGAUGCUGUAACUGUUCUUCCUCCAGGUGAAUGGGACCCAUCCAUCAGGAUAGAACCUCCGGCAGCCAUCCCUUCUCAAGAUACCAGAAAAAGACCUCCUGAAAAGGCAGCAGAAGAACCUGAUGAAGAAGAAGAGGAACAGAAGCUGCGGGAAGAAUCGGGAUUGGCCAGAACGGGAGUUUUAUUUGGAGGACUCAUAAACGACAUCAAGCGGAAGGCACCUUGGUAUAUCUCAGAUUUCAAGGAUGCACUGGCGUCUCAAUGUAUAGCAUCCUGGAUUUUCCUCUAUUUCGCCUGCUUAUCUCCCAUAAUCACGUUUGGAGGUCUUCUUUCCCAAGCGACUGGGAAGAAUAUGGCUGCAAUGGAAUCUUUGGUGUCGGGCUUCAUAUGUGGUAUGGGUUAUGGUUUGUUUUCCGGUCAACCGCUGACGAUAUUAGGAUCGACAGGUCCAGUUUUAGUGUUUGAAACUAUAGUGUACGAUUUUUGCGGUACUAUAGGAUGGGAUUAUAUGGCGUUCAGGUUCUGGAUAGGCACCUGGAUCGCUGUAAUUCUCUUGGUGUUAGUAGCUAUAGACGCGAGUGCUUUCGUGUGUUACAUAACGAGAUUCACCGAAGAAAGUUUUGCUACGCUGAUCGCUGUUAUAUUCAUUUUCAAGGCAAUAGAGAACGUUUUGGUUAUUGGGAAACAAUUUCCCAUCAACACCAAUGCAAACACCAAUCUCAGUUACGAAUGUGCUUGCUUCUUAAAUGACUCAGUCGAGCUCAAACAUCCAGAAAUAGUCAAUUGGACAGCAGUGAAUAAGACAGCAUGCAUUGAACUAAAUGGUUCUCUUUCUCCGGGAUGUUUUACACCAACCUACGUUCCAGAUGUAUUCCUUAUGUCAAUAAUACUGUUUUUCGGAACAUUCCUAAUUUCUGUGCAACUGAAGGACUUCAAAAACGCUCUUUUCUUCUCUUCAAAAGUUCGUCAGUUCAUCAGUGAUUUCGCUGUGAUUAUUGCAAUAAUGUCGAUGACUUUGUUAGACGCCUACGUGGGUAUUUUGACCCCGAAAUUGGAGGUCCCCAAGGAGUUCAAGCCAACGUCUCCUGACAGGGGAUGGUUUAUACCGCCAUUCCAGCACAAUCCCUAUUAUUCAGUAUUUGUUGCUUUUCCACCAGCCUUGCUGGGCACAAUUUUGAUUUUUAUGGAUCAGCAAAUUACAAGUGUGAUAGUUAAUAGAAAGGAACAUAAAUUGAAGAAAGGCUGUGGAUAUCAUUUGGAUCUUUUUGUCCUGUCCAUCCUUAUCGAGAUUUGCUCCAUGAUGGGUCUUCCUUGGUUUGUUGCCGCAACAGUCUUGUCAAUCAACCAUGUCAACUCGUUGAAGCUAGAGUCUGAGUGUGCUGCUCCAGGAGAGAAGCCUCAAUUUUUGGGGGUCAGAGAGCAGAGAGUAACACAUAUUUUGAUAUUUUUGACUAUUGGAUUAUCAGUAUUUCUUACGCCAAUGCUGGGUUAUAUUCCAAUGCCAGUACUUUUUGGAGUAUUUUUAUAUAUGGGAGUCGCAUCGUUGAAAGGAUUGCAGUUCUUCGACAGAAUACUCAUAAUGUUUAUGCCAAAUAAGUAUCAACCGGACUACAUGUUCUUGAGACAGGUCCCUAUCAAAAGAGUUCAUCUCUUCACCACCAUCCAGAUAAUUUGUUUGGUGUGCCUAUGGUCGAUCAAAUCAUUCAGUUCUACUUCCAUCCUUUUCCCCUUGAUGCUAGUGGUGAUAAUCGGUAUACGAAAAUCGCUUGAUCUCAUAUUCAGCCGAAGAGAUUUGAAGAUACUGGAUGAUGUGAUGCCGGAAAUGACAAAGAGGCACGAGAUGUUGCAGGACGAAGAGAAAAACGAGAAAACACCGUUGGAUUUCGAGCCAGGUGGCAAUUUGAAAAUUGCCCUCGCCAAUGGAAAUGUUAUGAAUAUUCCACUAUCAGCCGUGAAUAUAUCUGAAGAGGUAAACAAAACAGCAAUAUGGAAACAAGUUAACGACAAUAUAACACAGAACAAAGAAAGGAAGAAAAGUUCAAAAAAUGCAAGCCGAUUCAAAAAGAAGAAGUCUGCAAAAAAAGAAGAGAAACGCGAUGAGAAUAAAAAACUGGAGAAACGUCUCUCUACCAUGGAAGAAGAGGAAGAGGAUGAAGGAAUCACAAUUAAGGUGACCGAUACUAGCAUACACAUUUAACAAGAUUCUACACUAACACUUUCCAACAAAUCACAAUAGUACAAAAAUGUUGCACUUAUAGUAGAACAAAUCUGUCGGAAAAACAGGAAAAUGUCUGAACUACUUGGAGAUAAGGAAUAUUGGAAGGAGAAACGUAAGAAUUCUCUACAUUCAAAUGAAACUCAUGUUUGAGGAAAUGUUUGUUGGGCUGUGUUUCGAGAUUGACCGUCAUUAUUGUAACUUUUAUCAAAUAAAAUUAAUUAUUAGAACUGC
RNA transcript from Coccinella septempunctata (seven-spotted ladybird), 3890 nucleotides. It is a transcript of the gene named sodium bicarbonate cotransporter 3, with no coding region annotated. NCBI's taxonomy places the organism in Eukaryota, Metazoa, Arthropoda, Insecta, Coleoptera, Coccinellidae. The record is from RefSeq and is a predicted model, not a curated record. The transcript is spliced from 17 exons.